AGCGAACGCUGGCGGCAGGCCUAACACAUGCAAGUCGAACGAACCUUUCGGGGUUAGUGGCGGACGGGUGAGUAACACGUGGGAACGUGCCUUUAGGUUCGGAAUAACUCAGGGAAACUUGUGCUAAUACCGAAUGUGCCCUUCGGGGGAAAGAUUAAUCGCCUUUAGAGCGGCCCGCGUCUGAUUAGCUAGUUGGUUGAGGUAAUGGCUCACCAAGGCGACGAUCAGUAGCUGGUCUGAGAGGAUGAUCAGCCACAUUGGGACUGAGACACGGCCCAAACGCCUGCGGGAGGCGGCAGUGGGGAAUCUUGAGGAAUGGGCGAAAGCCUGACGCGGCCAUGCCGCGUGAAGGAUGAAGGGCUUAGGAUUGUAAAAUUCUUUCACCGGGGACGAUAAUGACGGUACCCGGAGAAGAAGCCCCGGCUAACUUCGUG
RNAcentral lists this ribosomal RNA (434 nucleotides) under uncultured bacterium. RNAcentral describes it as "partial 16S ribosomal RNA". It matches the Rfam family "Bacterial small subunit ribosomal RNA", at positions 29 to 507 of the family's 1533-position model. The record is from RNAcentral.